GACGAACGCUGGCGGCGUGCUUAACACAUGCCAGUCGAACGGAAAGGCCCUGCUUUUGUGGGGUGCUCGAGUGGCGAACGGGUGAGUAACACGUGAGUAACCUGCCCUUGACUUUGGGAUAACUUCAGGAAACUGGGGCUAAUACCGGAUAGGAGCUCCUGCUGCAUGGUGGGGGUUGGAAAGUUUCGGCGGUUGGGGAUGGACUCGCGGCUUAUCAGCUUGUUGGUGGGGUAGUGGCUUACCAAGGCUUUGACGGGUAGCCGGCCUGAGAGGGUGACCGGCCACAUUGGGACUGAGAUACGGACCAGACUCCUACGGGAGGCAGCAGUGGGGAAUAUUGCACAAUGGGCGGAAGCCUGAUGCAGCAACGCCGCGUGCGGGAUGACGGCCUUCUGGUUGUAAACCGCUUCCGCCUGUGACGAAGCGUGAGUGACGGUAAUGGGUAAAGAAGCACCGGCUAACUACGUG
RNAcentral lists this ribosomal RNA (468 nucleotides) under uncultured bacterium. RNAcentral describes it as "partial 16S ribosomal RNA". It matches the Rfam family "Bacterial small subunit ribosomal RNA", at positions 28 to 507 of the family's 1533-position model. The record is from RNAcentral.